Molecule: long non-coding RNA, 1124 nt
Organism: Phyllopteryx taeniolatus (common seadragon)
Lineage: Eukaryota; Metazoa; Chordata; Actinopteri; Syngnathiformes; Syngnathidae
Exons: 3
Source: RefSeq, a predicted model, not a curated record
GGGGUGGGGGGUGAUGAAGGCUGCACGCACGAAAUUCCUCCAAGGAACCUCUGCGAGCGUUCUUUUUUUUCUUCUUUUUUUUUCAUCACGCGCAUGCUAAAAAUAGAAACAGGGUUGGAUCGUGAUCCAGAAAUAGAUAGGGGGCAUCACUCCUAUAAAAGGCACACCAUUCAAGAGUACAGUGUGUGCACUGUAGGAAGAACCGAAAAGCACGAGCACAUUUUAAAGCAGAGACCACUUUUAUUUUUCUCUUUUCCCCUGCAUGGUGACGCUCCCGAAUCUUGCAUGGUUUCCACACACACUUUUGGAGAUGAUGGCGGGUAUGGCUCAAACCAGUUGAAACACAGAAUGGGAAUGCUGCAAGGAGCAAUGUGACCGUGGAAUAGAAGAAAGGGAAAAAGGAGUGACGCACAAACAUUCAAACGGGAAACACUGUAUGGUAAGUACCACAGUGGGGCUAAGAAAUACCCCUGAAGAUAUUUUAUAGAAAGGAGCAUUAUUUGAUUUUUUUUUAAAUCAUAGUUUAUUAAUAUAAGUCAUUUUCUUAUUUAUGUGUUUAUUAUUUGUUUUGUGACCAUGAAAGUGUAAAGACCUAUGGAACGACCAGAUACAAUGAGCUGAUAUUGUAUCAGUAAAUGAAUGCGUGUUGAUGAGGGUGUGAAUAUUAUUUGUGUGUAUGAUUUGUUUGUGGUAUAUGAGGUUUGUAUAUGUAAUUUGUGUUGCAAAAUUUAAUUAUCUUUUUUGUUACAUAUACUUACAGGGUCACACCCAUGCUGAGAAUGUAAAAAAUGAUAUGCGUCGUAUAAAUAAUGAACAUUUUUCAUAAAAAUAACAAUAUUACCAUGUAUCUAAUGAAAAUGUGUAUUCCUAGUAGAGUACAGUACAAGGUUAUGAAAGCCUGUGAGCUUUUAUCUCCUAUUGUUUUUUUAAAAAUGUUUUUUUUUAAACUGCCUUAAAUACUGUGUAGGCCAUUUCAUUUGUUUAUUUUGAUGGCAAGUCCGCACCUUGGAGUGUUUUUCCAUAUGUACUGUAUGUAUGAUAAUAUCUGGUAAUCCUAGUAACCAACCGGAUUAUCAUUAUCCAUCGAAGGUGUAAUAUAAAUAAACGAUUUCAAAAACCCUUCA